UGGGGAAUUUUGGACAAUGGGCGCAAGCCUGAUCCAGCAAUGCCGCGUGCAGGAUGAAGGCCUUCGGGUUGUAAACUGCUUUUGUACGGAACGAAACGGUCUACUCUAAUACAGUGGGCUAAUGACGGUACCGUAAGAAUAAGCACCGGCUAACUACGUGCCAGCAGCCGCGGUAAUACGUAGGGUGCGAGCGUUAAUCGGAAUUACUGGGCGUAAAGCGUGCGCAGGCGGUUAUAUAAGACAGAUGUGAAAUCCCCGGGCUCAACCUGGGACCUGCAUUUGUGACUGUAUAGCUAGAGUACGGUAGAGGGGGAUGGAAUUCCGCGUGUAGCAGUGAAAUGCGUAGAUAUGCGGAGGAACACCGAUGGCGAAGGCAAUCCCCUGGACCUGUACUGACGCUCAUGCACGAAAGCGUGGGGAGCAAACAGGAUUAGAUACCCUGGUAGUCCACGCCCUAAACGAUGUCAACUGGUUGUUGGGUCUUCACUGACUCAGUAACGAAGCUAACGCGUGAAGUUGACCGCCUGGGGAGUACGGCCGCAAGGUUG
Molecule: ribosomal RNA, 548 nt
Filed under: uncultured prokaryote
Description: bacterial SSU rRNA
Rfam family: Bacterial small subunit ribosomal RNA
Source: RNAcentral